Molecule: long non-coding RNA, 565 nt
Filed under: Heterocephalus glaber (naked mole-rat)
Lineage: Eukaryota; Metazoa; Chordata; Mammalia; Rodentia; Bathyergidae
Description: lncRNA (ENSHGLG00000050292.1)
Source: RNAcentral
CUUUCGGCGGAGUCCUCCUUCGGAAUGAGCCAGCGCUGAAGGGGGUAGUGGACCCUGGGAAAAAAUGCGCCUCCCUGGUGGCCUGAGCCUACAGACCUGCUCCGACUUACAGGGUACUGGAAGUUCAGUACCCUCUCUUACUAGGUAUCCAGUGGACUUCCCAACAAAACAGCAACUUGAUGGGACAAGAGGAGGCCUCCUGGGACUACAUCUAGCACCAAGGUUCUUGUCAUCCUGAAAAGAGAAUUGGACAAGAAAACAUGCAAAAGAGUCCAAGGGCCAAAUCCAGACCAGUUUUUUUAAAAAAGAAUGUGGCCCAGAGAUAAGUGAAGGUCAGCUUCACUCUAGAAGAGUCAGAGAGAGGGGGAAACCCGCAGCCCUAGAACGUCUGUCUUGGAAUGCAGUAGCCACAAAGAGAACUGCUUGAAGUACGAGAACCAAAUCUCAGCCAUCUCAAGGGCAGAAAGACAACUAAGACCAGAAGCUUUCUGAGGGUGCAUCUCCAGUCUUUUGCAAAACAUGCCUCCAAAGACAAAAGCUAUGAUUGAUUUCAGUCACAUUGUCA